GUAGGUGGCAAGCGUUGUCCGGAAUUAUUGGGCGUAAAGCGCGCGCAGGCGGUUCUUUAAGUCUGAUGUCGAAAGCCCACGGCUCAACCGUGGAGGGUCAUUGGGAAACUGGAGAACUUGAGUACAGAAGAGGAAAGCGGAAUUCCACGUGUAGUGGUGAAAUGCGUAGAGAUGUGGAGGAACACCAGUGGCGAAGGCGGCUUUCUGGUCUGUAACUGACGCUGAGGCGCGAAAGCGUGGGGAGCAAACAGGAUUAGAUACCCUGGUAGUCCACGCGUAAACGAUGAGUGCUAAGUGUUAGGGGGUUUCCGCCCCCUUAGUGCUGCAGCUAACGCAUUAAGCACUCCGGCCUGGGAGUACGGCCGCAAGGCUG
This 373-nucleotide ribosomal RNA is filed under the name uncultured organism. Its description in RNAcentral is "partial 16S ribosomal RNA". It matches the Rfam family "Bacterial small subunit ribosomal RNA", at positions 527 to 896 of the family's 1533-position model. The record is from RNAcentral.